RNAcentral lists this ribosomal RNA (760 nucleotides) under uncultured bacterium. RNAcentral's name for it is "bacterial SSU rRNA". It matches the Rfam family "Bacterial small subunit ribosomal RNA", at positions 62 to 819 of the family's 1533-position model. The record is from RNAcentral.
UCGACGAGAAUCUUUGGAAUGAUUCUUUCGGGAUGAAUUCCAAAGAGGAAAGUGGCGGACGGGCGAGUAACGCGUGAGUAACCUGCCCAUAAGAGGGGGAUAAUCCAUGGAAACGUGGACUAAUACCGCAUAUUGUAGUUAAGUUGCAUGACUUGAUUAUGAAAGAUUUAUCGCUUAUGGAUGGACUCGCGUCAGAUUAGAUAGUUGGUGAGGUAACGGCUCACCAAGUCAACGAUCUGUAGCCGAACUGAGAGGUUGAUCGGCCGCAUUGGGACUGAGACACGGCCCAGACUCCUACGGGAGGCAGCAGUGGGGAAUAUUGCGCAAUGGGGGCAACCCUGACGCAGCAACGCCGCGUGCAGGAAGAAGGUCUUCGGAUUGUAAACUGUUGUCGCAAGGGAAGAAGACAGUGACGGUACCUUGUGAGAAAGUCACGGCUAACUACGUGCCAGCAGCCGCGGUAAUACGUAGGUGACAAGCGUUGUCCGGAUUUACUGGGUGUAAAGGGCGCGUAGGCGGACUGUCAAGUCAGUCGUGAAAUACCGGGGCUUAACCCCGGGGCUGCGAUUGAAACUGACAGCCUUGAGUAUCGGAGAGGAAAGCGGAAUUCCUAGUGUAGCGGUGAAAUGCGUAGAUAUUAGGAGGAACACCAGUGGCGAAGGCGGCUUUCUGGACGACAACUGACGCUGAGGCGCGAAAGUGUGGGGAGCAAACAGGAUUAGAUACCCUGGUAGUCCACACCGUAAACGAUGGAUACUAG